CUCCGGGUGAUCCCGCCGGACCCGACUGCUAUCAGAGUGGGACUAAGCCAUGCGAGUCAACGUAGCAAUACGUGGCAUACGGCUCAGUAACACGUAGUCAACAUGCCCAGGGGACGAGGAUAACCUCGGGAAACUGAGGAUAAACCUCGAUAGGCCAUGAUUUCUGGAAUGAUUCUUGGCUCAAACCUAUAUGGCCCCUGGAUUGGACUGCGGCCGAUCAGGCUGUUGGUGAGGUAAUGGCCCACCAAACCUAUUACCGGUACGGGCUCUGAGAGGAGGAGCCCGGAGAUGGGCACUGAGACAAGGGCCCAGGCCCUAUGGGGCGCAGCAGGCGCGAAACCUCUGCAAUAGGCGAAAGCUUGACAGGGUUACUCUGAGUGAUUUCCGCUAAGGGAAUCUUUUGGCACCUCUAAAAAUGGUGCAGAAUAAGGGGUGGGCAAGUCUGGUGUCAGCCGCCGCGGUAAUACCAGCACCCCGAGUGGUCGGGACGAUUAUUGGGCCUAAAGCAUCCGUAGCCGGUCCUGCAAGUCUUCCGUUAAAUCCAGCUGCUCAACAGAUGGGCUGCGGGAGAUACUACAGGGCUAGGAGGCGGGAGAGGCAAGCGGUACUUUAUGGGUAGGGGUAAAAUCCGCUGAUCCAUAGAAGACCACCAGUGGCGAAGGCGGCUUGCCAGAACGCGCUCGACGGUGAGGGAUGAAAGCUGGGGGAGCAAACCGGAUUAGAUACCCGGGUAGUCCCAGCUGUAAACGAUGCAGACUCGGUGAUGGGUUGGCCUCGCGCCUGCCCAGUGCCGCAGGGAAGCCGUUAAGUCUGCCGCCUGGGGAGUACGGUCGCAAGACUGAAACUUAAAGGAAUUGGCGGGGGAGCA
This 868-nucleotide ribosomal RNA is filed under the name uncultured archaeon. RNAcentral describes it as "bacterial SSU rRNA". It matches the Rfam family "Archaeal small subunit ribosomal RNA", at positions 1 to 878 of the family's 1478-position model. The record is from RNAcentral.